RNAcentral lists this ribosomal RNA (450 nucleotides) under uncultured bacterium. RNAcentral's name for it is "bacterial SSU rRNA". It matches the Rfam family "Bacterial small subunit ribosomal RNA", at positions 354 to 796 of the family's 1533-position model. The record is from RNAcentral.
GUGGGGAAUAUUGGACAAUGGGCGAAAGCCUGAUCCAGCCAUGCCGCGUGUGUGAAGAAGGUCUUCGGAUUGUAAAGCACUUUAAGUUGGGAGGAAGGGCAGUAAGUUAAUACCUUGCUGUUUUGACGUUACCGACAGAAUAAGCACCGGCUAACUUCGUGCCAGCAGCCGCGGUAAUACGAAGGGUGCAAGCGUUAAUCGGAAUUACUGGGCGUACAGCGCGCGUAGGUGGUUUUGUAAGUUGGAGGUGAAAUCCCCGGGCUCAACCUGGGAACUACCUCCAAAACUGCAUGACUAGAGUACGGUAGAGGGUAGUGGAAUUUCCUGUGUAGCGGUGAAAUGCGUAGAUAUAGGAAGGAACACCAGUGGCGAAGGCGACUACCUGGACUGAUACUGACACUGAGGUGCGAAAGCGUGGGGAGCAAACAGGAUUAGAAACCCCUGUAGUCC